This is a long non-coding RNA of Drosophila obscura, 1242 nucleotides long. RefSeq lists it as uncharacterized. The transcript is spliced from 3 exons. The record is from RefSeq and is a predicted model, not a curated record. NCBI's taxonomy places the organism in Eukaryota, Metazoa, Arthropoda, Insecta, Diptera, Drosophilidae.
UUGGAAAAUGGUUCUUAAAAGGUUAUUCGAUGUCAUACUAACCCUAGCAAAGAACUCGUUGGCUUUAAGAGGACAUCGAGAAAACUUAAGUGAGGAAGGGUACCAUGGAAAUUUUCUGUCCGUUGUGGAGCUUCUCGCCCGUUAUGAUCACAUAUUGCGGCAAGUUUUGGAUAUGCCCAAAGGAUCUACAAGAUAUCUGAGUGCAACAAUCCAAAAUGAAAUGAUUGAAAGUUAGGGGACCACACUUGAAAAUCAUAUACUCGAGAAAAUUACAGCGUCACCGUUUUUCGCCAUAAUAAUAGAUACGACACAGGACAUAUCGAAGGUAGACCAGCUCAGCAUUGUUGUGAGAAUCGUUUGUAGGCUUUUAUGCAGCAUACAAACAUGGCGCUGCAGAUUUAGUCAACCAAAUAACUAAAUUAUUUAUCGACAAAAAAAUUGAUCUGAAAAAAUUUGUUGGUCAAGGUUAUGAUGGCGCUAGUGUUAUGAGCGGUGUGUAUAAUGGUGUGCAAAAACACAUUAAGGAUAUCCAGCUCAAUGCAGAGUACGUUCAUUGUGCCAGUCAUAACUUAAAUUUGAUGGUGAAUGAUGCAGUUAGCGCUUGUGUGGAAUUACAGAUUUUUUUCGCAACGGUGCAAGACUUGUACAAUUUUUUCGGAAAUAGCAUUAAACGUUGGGAUCUGCUUUCUUAAUUCACUGGCGAAUCAGAUACCACAUUGAAAAAACUAAAUCCCACUAGAUGGUCUAGUAGAGUAAACACGAUAUCUGCCAUAAAACUUCGUUUUUUCGAUAUUAUUAAAGCAUUAUCAUAAAUAGUUCUUAAGAGCUCCAGUAAAGAUGAGCGUAGUCAAGCAGACUCUGUUAAAAUAAAAAUGUUCAAUUUCGAGUUUGUGUUCCUUUGCGAGUUCAUUGAAUAGUAUAGUUGAGUAUUGAAUGAUAUUAAUUAUGCUUCUAAAACUUUACAAACAUGCUCUAUCAAUUUGGGCGAGGCAAGUCAAGUAUUAGAAGAGACAACCUCAAAAAUGCAAAUUUAUAGAAAUGACUUCGAAACAUUUAAUUUAAAAGCCAGUGAAACUGCAGAUAAAUAUGGUAUAGAUCCCCAUUUUAAAGAAAAAAGGAAAAGAACAGUAAAAAAACACUUUGAUGAGUUAGCUUCUGAUUUCCGGUUUCAAAACAGGGAACAAAUAUUUAAAACUGGAACGUUUUACUGGUAUGAGGGAGGUAAAUAAAAUAUUUCAGUUU